UGGCGAACGGGUGAGUAACACGUGGGCAACCUGCCCAAAANAGGGGGAUAACACUUGGAAACAGGUGCUAAUACCGCAUAACCAUAGUUACCGCAUGGUAACUAUGUAAAAGGUGGCUAUGCUACCGCUUUUGGAUGGGCCCGCGACGCAUUAGCUAGUUGGUGGGGUAAAGGCUUACCAAGGCAAUGAUGCGUAGCCGAACUGAGAGGUUGAUCGGCCACAUUGGGACUGAGACACGGCCCAAACUCCUACGGGAGGCAGCAG
RNAcentral lists this ribosomal RNA (264 nucleotides) under uncultured bacterium. Its description in RNAcentral is "partial 16S ribosomal RNA". It matches the Rfam family "Bacterial small subunit ribosomal RNA", at positions 96 to 354 of the family's 1533-position model. The record is from RNAcentral.